This is a long non-coding RNA of Anopheles stephensi (Asian malaria mosquito), 3566 nucleotides long. RefSeq lists it as uncharacterized. The transcript has 2 exons. The record is from RefSeq and is a predicted model, not a curated record. NCBI's taxonomy places the organism in Eukaryota, Metazoa, Arthropoda, Insecta, Diptera, Culicidae.
GGUAGAGGGUUGUGUGCUUGCCUGGCUCAUGGUUUUGAUAUUUCUAGCAAAAAAGUAUGAUUUGUUCGCAAUGCACAACGCUUGCUAUGCUGAGUAAUAGCUCACGAAAGCCAGUUUGCGUGAAAAAUCUGCAAAGCAGCCGAAAACCUCCGUAGAAAACGCGUACGUACGAAACUUACGAUACAGAGCAAGAGCUAAACAAAAUGGCGCUUCACAUCUGUGCGUUGAGUCUGGCUGCGCUGGCUGCUGGCUUCACGUACGGCAAUCAAGUUAAAUUAGCAAACUAGCACGGCUACGGAAUUAUGAUUUGUUUGGUAGUAAACAUGUGAAAAUUGGCGUGCAAAGUUCGCUGCUAAAUGCGAAUGUUUACAAGCGGCAUCUGCUUACGGGCGAAAUACACAUACAUGAGGUUUCGUACGAAAAAGUUUGGGAUUGUAUCGUGAUUUGUUAACAAUGUUUUACUUGUUUCAUUGCGCGUUUCGCGUAUUAAUCAUUAGCUUACCCUUUUUGUUUUAAGCGAUGGAUAGUUUACACGAUAUUCCUUGUACGUACUCUGCUGCCUGUACUGCCGAAAUGAUAGUUUACACCUCCGAUCAGCAUACUGACAGUUUUGCGUUCUAAGCGAUUGUAAAACGCUCGCCCAGAAACAUCGGAAACAUGACGAAGCAUUAGAUUGUGGCGCUGCGAAAACUGUUGUAGAAUAGUUUGCUCUUGAGUAAUCGCAUCUUGUUUGAAAUAUGAAUCACAACUAGAAGCUAGAAAUGGUUGGAUCUCAAUGUCAUUGGCUCAGCAGAUCGCAUGGAAGAUUCUCGUUAGGAAUCUAUCGCGCGAUAUGGUUUCCUUUGCUCAUACCGCAGAGCAGGCAUUACGAAUCUGCAGCGUAUGCUAAAUCUUAGAUAAAACUCUAGAUCAUUUCCCUACGUUUCAUUCCUUUCCAUAUGAGUCUCGUUCUCGGUAGUUUAUCUAUUACGUAUGAGACACCGUUUUUGCGUUUAAACUGAUAAAUACGACGUACGAGGAACUUUUUGUUAGUUGGUUUGCUGGUUCUUCAUACGAUUAAAUUCCAACGUUCGAAUUCAGUUCGGUACGAUUUCGCGUACGCUGGAUUGAUUGUUUAGCUACGGGUAAAUUCAAGUCACGGAAGGCUAGAAAUGGAGAAAAAACGCUUGUUGGCUGAUUCUUAAAGAUAAUAAGCCAUUAGACCUUAUUAGUCUCUGCAAGGAGUGUUCACUAUCAUCAUGUUUAUUGCACUCCUCACAGGUGUUACAAAGUUUUAACGUUAAUUUUACCACUGAUGUAAUGAGCUGAUCAUGUGUUAUGAAGUAGGAAAGGAUGACGAUUGGAAAUAUUUUAAGCUAAGAGCACGGAAAGUGCUGAUUAACUAGUGAAAGUCGUAAAAUGGAAAAGGCUGUGAAAUGAAGGGCAGACCAGAAACGAAUUGUUAGAGCCAUACGCAACGCAUUCCGAAAAUUCAGAAAGGAACGCCCGAGGAUGUAGGGACCAGGAAGGAACAUACAGGGAGACGCCGGAAGGGUUAUAGGGCAAGUUAGUGACAGCGAGGUGUAGUCCGGCAGUGCACGACCCGGUUACUCUUCAGCGAUUCCAGGCUUGACAACAGCAUUCAUAAGGUGGCUUUUGGGAAUGCGCAGCUAGUCCCUAGAAGUGUCUGAGAACCUUUUUAUGGGCAUUUGAGUGGGCAGGAUGCACACACCGUAGGCAUAUUCAAUAUUAUACACGCAAAACAGGCCCCAUUAACGAGAAGGACAUGAAAAGUCGUUUGUCUCCGAAUGAGACCGAGCAUCUUGUAUGCUUUUGAGACAAUGGAUUCGAAGUUACAUUACCUAUACCGCGUUGCCUAAUCAAUGUUGCUGCUGGGAAUAAUUCGACCGAAAGGCAAGGAAUUCCUGCCGCUAGACUACACAAAUGACAAAUCAACACCUAGUUUAGACCGAUCGUACAGGCUUUUCAUAACGUAGAACAAAGGGUCCGUUUUUUCCAAAAAACCUAAGAACCUUAUGACUUUCUGUUAUCAAAUCUUCAUACCAGUCCUUUCAAUCGUUUGUUACAAGGGGUGGUCCGAUUUCAGAACCGGUAGUGGCGCCGGUCUCCACCCGUCAGGGCCGACAAUAGAAACCUCAAUAGAACCGACAAUAGAAACAAUAGGAAUAGCAAGCCGAGACCUUUCGAGGUUGUAGUGCCAAAGCAAAAGGCAGCAGUUACAUCCUUGUUAAAGUUUUUAUAGUGCACGUCAGACUUAUAGGUAAUACGCAUAAACUCAUAAGAGGAAGAUAAAGCGCUUAAAAGUUUUAAGGACACGAUUCAGGCUUAGAAUGGAGAUGGAACCAGGAGAUGUGUAUACCUGUUACAAAAUCAACCUUACAAAAUAAUAGGGCAGUAGGAUUCUACAUCCCCCAUCCAGACCGCCUCCCCGUACGUAAGGCUGACUACUUUACUACGGGUAAAAUUAAGUCACAGAAAGCCAGAAAUGGCAGGCCGAGACCUCUCGAGCUUGUAGUGCCAAGGAAGAAGAAGAAGAAGGAUUCUACAUAGCGAGUUUAUUCCUGCCCUUAAUAUUGUCCUCAACUCCUUAUAAAACCAAAAGUCAUAAACUGCUCCUUUUCGGCAACUUCAUUUUGCCGAAUAAUGUUGUGAAAUCUUUUCUAGAACCUCGUGAGCGAAGUACUGCUUGCUGGGAAUAGUUAUUUUAAGACAGUUCACGCUGAAGGCAUAUCUUUAACGAUGUAGUGAAAAUGGGUAUCUUCUCAGACACGGCGUUCUGAGUAAUAUGAUCGCAUUGUAAUUGUUUUUCAUGUAUCGUUUAGAAAAAAAGAGAUCCUUCAACAUCGUUAAUAACUUGCAAACGCUUCUUCUUUUCGUGUGUAACUCCUUUUGAAACAGAGUGAGAUUUCAAAUGUUUGUACCUUCAUCGGUGAAUAGAUGUUUUGCUUCAGUGAGAGGAUUAAUUUAAGUGUAAGGAUUAAUUAAUUUAAUACGGGCCUGUAGAGGCGAUACGGCACGACCGGGAUUCAAAUCCCAUCCAGACCGUUCCCCCCGUAGUAAAGACUGACUAUCCAUCUACGUAGUAUCAUUAAGCCUGGUAAGCCAGAAAUGGCAGGCAUGACCUUAAGAGGUAGUUCGGCCAAGAAGAAGGAUUAAUUUCAAUUCGCAUAAAGAAAUGUAGACGAAUGAUGUGGUAGACUGCUUAAGGCUUUCAGAUACAAGGGACUCGUAAAGCAAGUUGGGUAUCCAAAGAAGGAAUGGAAUUACAUAUCUUCAGCAUAACCUUCUCGGCCCAUUCUCGUUCUGGACGAAUUCUGUCAGUCAUCUAGGGCUAGAUAGUCCUAGAAAGAACGACAGAACUACCUUCAACAGCUCAGAAGUUAAGUUCUGUCCAAGCUGUUUUUUUUUCUAAAUUGUCCUGCUUUGCAUGAUGUUUAACUAGUUGCUUGUACAAAGUUAAGCGCAUUAGCACGUGAACACGCAUCCGGGAAUGGCAGGUUGAUAACGUACAUGUUCCAACAUUAUUUUUUCACAUGCUGCAAUAAAAAGAUAAUGAUUUCGCUUAA